Molecule: non-coding RNA, 368 nt
Filed under: Bacillus sp. FJAT-18017
Lineage: Bacteria; Bacillati; Bacillota; Bacilli; Caryophanales; Bacillaceae
Description: cspA thermoregulator
Rfam family: cspA thermoregulator
Source: Rfam by way of RNAcentral
CUUUAGAAGAAUUAUUUUUGUUCGGUGUAAAGGAUAGUCUGAGAUUAACUUUUCGUCUUGAUGAUCACUGAGUGCAAGGAUAGUAACACAUUGUGUGCAAAGCACACAGCAGGAGGAAACAAAAUGGAACAAGGUAAAGUAAAAUGGUUUAACGCAGAAAAAGGUUUCGGUUUCAUCGAGCGCGAAGGCGGAGAAGAUGUAUUUGUUCAUUUCUCAGCAAUCCAAGGCGAAGGUUUCAAAUCUUUAGACGAAGGUCAAGAAGUUACUUUUGACGUUGAGCAAGGCCAACGUGGAGCUCAAGCAGCUAACGUUCGUAAAGCUUAAUAAUAGAACAAACUAAGCAGGCUCUUUAUAGAGUCUGUUUUUUU